This is a long non-coding RNA of Columba livia (rock pigeon), 1725 nucleotides long. RefSeq lists it as uncharacterized. The record is from RefSeq and is a predicted model, not a curated record. NCBI's taxonomy places the organism in Eukaryota, Metazoa, Chordata, Aves, Columbiformes, Columbidae. The transcript is spliced from 2 exons.
CUCUGCUAACAGCAGCGGGUUUCUGACUGGCAGAACUGGUCUGGCUUUCUCUAGGAUUCAUUCAGCAUAAAUGCAUCAGGAAAGCAAUGUAUAGCAUAGGGUGCAAUGAAGGCAGUGCCAUCUCCACUUCUUCUUCAGGCACAGCACUUGCAGGCAGAAGACAUGAAGUAAAGAGAAUGCCAAGAACCAGGCUCUCAGCCUUGCGAGUCAUUAACAAUCUGGAAGGAGACUCAUACAUGCUGUCAACCUAAGCAGAAAAUCUGAGAGAGGCACAGAGAUGGACCAAAACUGAAAGACUUGGAGUGCAUCUCCAUACUCCUCCCUUCUCUGAAGCGCUGAUUGCUGGCAGCCCAAGGAACUGGGUUAUGGACUGACAUUAAAGAUGCAAGUCUGGGAGCAGGCAAAUAAUGUGACUGCAGGACUGGAAGGCACUGUAACACAGUAAGUGGACAGCAAAACAUUUUAAGGUAAACUCCUUUUGAUCCUGAAGUAAAGGUACAAGGCUAAUUGAGCGUAACUCUGAUGAACUAGAACAUGGGAGUCUAUCGCUUUCUUUUGCAGACUUCCUCGGUGGUGGUUUCAUUACACUGGCAGCUUGGUUACAGCUUCCCAGGGGAAACAAAAUGAGAGUAAACACAAUUUUCUGAACUGAUUAUGCUACCUGGAGCUGCACUUGUAGCAAACCAGGUUUUCCAGGCGAGAGACCUAGUAAAAUACACAUGUAAGAUUUUUGCUUACCCAUUCUUCCCAGCAGUAUUUGUCUAUUGAUAUUACCAUGAGUAGAAAUACUGAGGUGGGCCAAGUAUUUAUUAUUGGAGAGGUUUCUGCUCUCCUUUUACUUCACUUUUUAGCAGCAGUUUUGAAGUCCACAAUCACACUGCAGCACAAUAACAAACACUUCAAGGAUGACACUUUACAUUUCCAAAAGUACCUUUAUUCCAAGAAUCUCUGAGCACUUUUCAACACGAAUUACCAACUCAUCUCUUGGUGAUAAGUAGGUGUUAUUUCCAUUUUAAAAACUGAGAAACUGAAACUGCUGCAUAAAGUAACUGGGAAACAUCUACUUCUUGGAGCUUUCUUGACUUGUUUUCCAUGCCCUUUUCUCUUUUCCCUCUUGGACCAUUCUUAAACUCGGUUUCCUCUCCACUCAGUCUAUAAUAAUCCCCUCGAUACAACCUGAUAUUGUACCCAAACGUGAAAACCCUUCUUUCCUGCAUCUUGGACAUGUGUAAGUGUUCUCCUGAUGCAGGUAAUAACACACAUCAAUGCAUUUCAAAGAGCUGUAUUUAUGUAGAUAGUUUUAAAUUGUUAUUUCCAUUUUAUAUGUGUAUGUGUGGGUGGGGAGGAUUAGACUGCAGAUAAGUUAAAGAACAGAGGUGUCUCAGGUGCCUCUGAUGUGGGGUACUGAAUGGGAGAAAAGCAGUUUUGCAAAGAUGCUAAACACUGACUGUUCCCACUGCUUGGAAAGUUCAGACCACUUUGGCGAUUCUGGGCUUACACCGCUUGGUGCUUAGUAGGACACUGGUCAGCGUGUUGACUGGUGUCUGUUUUCAAUCUAAAUAAACAAGUAUUUUCCUCCAGAAGGGUGCUUUGUUCAAGAUAAGGGUAACUGGUUUCACUGUACAUAUGUCUGAAUUAAACUGCUGCUACACUAAUCUUAGUUUCUGUUUCUUAACAUUAACCUUGUUAUUGUAUUUGUGUGAAAUAAAACGUUGGCAGUCUGUU